RNA transcript from Cynara cardunculus var. scolymus (artichoke), 1010 nucleotides. It is a transcript of the gene named sulfiredoxin, chloroplastic/mitochondrial, with no coding region annotated. NCBI's taxonomy places the organism in Eukaryota, Viridiplantae, Streptophyta, Magnoliopsida, Asterales, Asteraceae. The transcript is spliced from 6 exons. The record is from RefSeq and is a predicted model, not a curated record.
AGGCAAAGCAAAGGCAAGAAAACAACGAUCAUUAGCAGAAACAAAUGGCUAGAUUUCUUCUGCAAGUUCCCAACACCUUGAGAAACCCUAGUGUUUUUGCUUCCUCUUCCUCCAAUGGAUCUUUUCCAACUUCCAGUAAUCAAGCAUCUCAAUCAGGAAAAGGAGGUCCACUGAUCAUUGAACUUCCCCUUAAUCAAAUUCGGAGACCUUUAAUGCGUACAAGAACCAAUGAUCAACAGAAGGUGCAAGACCUCAUGGAUAGUAUUGCCCAAAUUGGUCUUCAAGUACCCAUUGAUGUGCUUGAGGUCGAUGGUGCUUACUAUGGCUUUUCUGGAUGUCAUCGUUUUGAGGCUCAUCAGCGCUUAGGGCUUCCUACUAUUCGUUGCAAGAUCCGACGUGGAACUAAAGAAACGUUAAGGCAUCACCUUCGUUGAGUCGGGGAUAGUUGGGUCAAAGGUUUCCUUCAACAGGAGAAAUCCAUCCUUGUUAUGCGACAGGGUGUUCCAGGCUAUGACUAGAUUAAUCUUGGCAAAUUGGGACUGCAAGAAAUCAGCCCUGAUAAACUCAGUGACCACAAUUGUUCUAUACGCCUGGAAUAGAACCUAGGGCCUCAACCACUAUGCUACAACCCUUCGUGGUUUUCCUUCAGUUUCUUGUGAAUUUCAAUUAUACCAAGCGAUUGAUGAUACUAAAAUCACCACAAGAUCAAUCCGGAGUCUGAUCAAUAACUACGACAUGCCAUUGCCUCCGCUACCAUCCUCUACGUUAGGAGUGUAAGUGGUUCGGUUAUGCAUGAAGUUGUUACUACUACUUUCCAUGUUCUCUUUGUAAUAUUCAGGUGUCUGUAGUAAAUAAGUAUAAAAAUAGAAAUCAAAUUUGGUUAGAUCGCUAAAACCAUGAAUCCAAUAUCAAAUCGAGGAAGACUAAUAGGUUCGGGUUUUUAAAUAGGGACGAUGUAUGCAAUCAUUAAACCAAAUUAAACUAAUUGCUUUGGUUUUGGCUUCGGAAGA